AACUGGACAUCGCAUCAAUGUCUGACAUGGCAGCAAGUGGAGGAUACUAUAUGGCAAUGGCAGCAGAUGCCAUUGUUGCAGAAAAUUUAACCUUAACUAGUUCCAUUGGAGUUGUCACAGGUAAGUUUAACCUGGGAAAACUGUAUAAGAAGAUUGGCUUUGACAAGGAAAUCAUAUCAAGGGGGAAUUUGCAGAGGUUCUUGCAGCUGAACAACGACCCUUUAAACUAGAGGAAGCUGAACUCUUUGCUAAGUCUGCACAUAAUUCGUAUAAGCAAUUUCAGGACAAGGCAGCUU
This is a long non-coding RNA of Rosa chinensis, 296 nucleotides long. RefSeq lists it as uncharacterized. Lineage: Eukaryota; Viridiplantae; Streptophyta; Magnoliopsida; Rosales; Rosaceae. The transcript is spliced from 3 exons. The record is from RefSeq and is a predicted model, not a curated record.